Molecule: unclassified non-coding RNA, 180 nt
Filed under: uncultured Chaetothyriales
Lineage: Eukaryota; Fungi; Ascomycota; Eurotiomycetes; Chaetothyriales
Description: sequence contains ITS2
Source: RNAcentral
UCACCCCUCAAGCCCGGCUUGUUGUUGGACCACGCCCCGCCUCGCGGCGGGACGGGCCCCAAAGAUAAUGACGGCGUCUGUGAGGACUCCAGUACACUGAGCUUUCGGGCACGUACUCGGCUAGAAAUUCAGACCCGUCCAACCCUUUUCGGCCUCCGCAAGGAGCCGGAAUAACACCAA